This 201-nucleotide ribosomal RNA is filed under the name uncultured Prevotella sp. Its description in RNAcentral is "partial 16S ribosomal RNA". It matches the Rfam family "Bacterial small subunit ribosomal RNA", at positions 156 to 355 of the family's 1533-position model. The record is from RNAcentral. Lineage: Bacteria; Pseudomonadati; Bacteroidota; Bacteroidia; Bacteroidales; Prevotellaceae.
AGUUGGACUAAUACCUUAUGUAUUCGUUUGUAUCUCAUGAGAUUACGAAUAAAGAUUUAUCGGUUAUGGAUGGGGAUGCGUCUGAUUAGCUUGUUGGCGGGGUAACGGCUCACCAAGGCAACGAUCAGUAGGGGUUCUGAGAGGAAGGUCCCCCACAUUGGAACUGAGACACGGUCCAAACUCCUACGGGAGGCAGCAGCC